GCCUUUGAUAAUGAACUCUGAGAAGGGGAACAAAUUAAUAGAACAUAGAUGAACUGCCAAGAAUGAAGACCGGGUUUUUGCUCUGCAGCAGAAAUGACAACAAUUUGACAAUUUGCAAUCUUUGUUACACAAUAAGAGAAAUCAAGAAUGGACUGAUUAAGGUAGCUUAUGUCCACAUUUGGGAACAGAAUUUCUGUCACUAACUGAUGAGAAUAAUGGAAACUGCAGAAUCACAGGGAAUCCCACCUACCUUGGAUACCUGGCAAGCGCAAAACACCUGGC
Pantherophis guttatus is the source of this 282-nucleotide long non-coding RNA. RefSeq lists it as uncharacterized. NCBI's taxonomy places the organism in Eukaryota, Metazoa, Chordata, Lepidosauria, Squamata, Colubridae. The record is from RefSeq and is a predicted model, not a curated record.